Molecule: ribosomal RNA, 481 nt
Filed under: uncultured bacterium
Lineage: Bacteria
Description: partial 16S ribosomal RNA
Rfam family: Bacterial small subunit ribosomal RNA
Source: RNAcentral
AUUGAACGCUGGCGGCAUGCCUUACACAUGCAAGUCGAACGGUAACGGGCCUUCGGGUGCCGACGAGUGGCGAACGGGUGAGUAAUACAUCGGAACGUGCCCGAUCGUGGGGGAUAACGAGGCGAAAGCUUUGCUAAUACCGCAUACGAUCUACGGAUGAAAGCAGGGGACCGCAAGGCCUUGCGCGGACGGAGCGGCCGACGGCAGAUUAGGUAGUUGGUGGGAUAAAGCUUACCAAGCCGACGAUCUGUAGCUGGUCUGAGAGGAUGAUCAGCCACACUGGGACUGAGACACGGCCCAGACUCCUACGGGAGGCAGCAGUGGGGAAUUUUGGACAAUGGGCGCAAGCCUGAUCCAGCCAUGCCGCGUGCAGGAUGAAGGCCUUCGGGUUGUAAACUGCUUUUGUACGGAACGAAAAGCCUUCUUUUAAUACAGGAGGGUCAUGACGGUACCGUAAGAAUAAGCACCGGCUAACUACGUG